Molecule: small RNA, 107 nt
Filed under: uncultured Saccharofermentans sp.
Lineage: Bacteria; Bacillati; Bacillota; Clostridia; Eubacteriales; Oscillospiraceae
Description: RT-5 RNA
Rfam family: RT-5 RNA
About the family: Clostridium (Firmicutes). Environment (Cow rumen (57))
Source: RNAcentral
UUGCGCCUGCGGAGGGCCAAGCAUACGAUAUAUGGAAUAGACUUUGCAGGCAGUUUUUGUAUGUACGGUCCGGUUAAUUCGGUAAUUUACCGAAUUUAAUUCUUUCU